AUGGACAGUGUUCCAGCUCUCGCGCUCUGCUGCCUAAUCUUGCUACCGAGCUGGGCCAAUGGCCUCGGCUCCAUGGGAUCCAUCUCGGUGUCCUACGGCGAGGACGGCCCGGUGUUCUGCGGCCUCAGCUCGGACGGCUCCCACUUGGUCACCUGCUCCGGCGCGGACGCAUCUGUCGUCUACGGUGCUCCCCUCAGGAUCCCCUUCCUCGGCCUCACCGCGGGGGAUGGGUUCGCGUGCGGUCUCUUGCUUGAUACCAGUCAGCCUUACUGCUGGGGGAGCAACUCAUAUGUCAAGAUCGGGGUGCCGCAACCAAUGGUCGAGGGCGUGGAGUAUUCCCUGCUCAGUGCCGGGGACAACCACCUGUGUGCACUGCGAAUGCCUGACAAGGGGAUUCCUCACGGUGUUAACCCUGAUACUUCAGUGAUAGAUUGCUGGGGGUACAACAUGACUGCCACACAUGUUGUCGCUGGAGCCGUGUCGACCAUAUCAGCGGGCUCGGUGUUCAAUUGUGCCUUGUUUACGCGCAACAGGACAGUGUUCUGCUGGGGUGAUGAGACAGUGAGUGGUGUGAUUGAGCUGGCUCCGAGGAAUGUCAAGUUUCAGUCCAUAGGAGCAGGUGGCUACCAUGUCUGUGGGGUGCUGGAGAAUGCACAAGUCUUCUGCUGGGGAAGGAGCUUGGAGAUGCAGCAGGUGUCGCCUACCGGUGCUAUCGGUGAAGGCGAUGUGAGCAUAGUGCCGAUGGAUGCAAUGGUCUCCGUUGUGGGCGGACGAUUCCAUGCUUGUGGCAUCAGGAGCCUUGAUCACCAAGUAGCUUGCUGGGGUUUCCAACUUCAGAACAGUACAUCAGCACCCAAAGGUCUCAGGUUGUAUACAAUAGUGGCUGGAGACUACUUUACUUGUGGUGUGCCUGCUGAGACAUCGAUGAAGCCAAGGUGUUGGGGCAAUAGUGGGCCAUUGGCACUACCAAUGGCGGUAUCACCCGGGAUUUGUGUAUCUUCUGCAUGCAGCCCCGGAUACUACGAGUAUGUUAACCAUGGUGAGCUUGGUGGCAGCAAGUCUUGCAAGCCUGGAAACUCUAGACUCUGCUUGCCCUGCAGUGCUGGCUGCCCAGACAACUCGUAUGAGUCCUCGCCCUGCAAUGCCACGGCUGACCGUGUGUGCCAGUUUGAUUGCUCGAGGUGUGUCUCAGAUGAGUGUUUGUCAUACUGCACAUCCCGGAAGCAGACCAACAACCAUAAGUCAAUGGAUUUUCAGAUGCGCAUUUUUGUGGCAGAGAUUGCAUUUGCUGUCAUUUUGAUUUUCACCGUGACAGCCAUUUCUUGCCUAUAUGUACGACACAAGCUUCGAGAUUGCCGAUGUUCGAAGAGCAAGUUGAGGAUGACAAAGAGUGCAACAUACUCUUUUCGAAAGGAUAACACGAAGAUCCAGCCUGACGUGGAAGAUCUGAAGAUCAGGAGAGCUCAGGAAUUUUCCUAUGAGGAGUUGGAACAAGCAACCGAUGGCUUCUCGGAGGAUUCACAAGUUGGCAAAGGCAGCUUUUCAUGUGUAUUCAGGGGCAUUCUGAGAGAUGGGACAGUCGUUGCUGUGAAGCGUGCAAUAAAAGUAUCGGAUGCGAAGAAAAGCUCAAAGGAGUUCCAUACUGAACUUGACCUCCUCUCUAGGCUCAACCAUGCACAUUUGCUCGACCUACUUGGUUACUGUGAGGAUGGCAGCGAGAGGCUCUUGGUUUAUGAGUUCAUGGCUCAUGGAUCCCUGUACCAGCAUCUGCAUGGCAAGGAUUCAAACUUGAAGAAGCAACUGAACUGGACCAGGCGGGUUACCAUUGCUGUCCAGGCUGCUCGUGGAAUAGAGUAUUUGCAUGGCUAUGCUUGCCCACCAGUAAUUCACCGAGACAUCAAGUCUUCAAACAUAUUGAUCGAUGAGGACCACAAUGCGCGUGUUGCCGACUUUGGUCUAUCUAUAAUGGGCCCUGUAGAUAGCGGCACACCACUCUCAGAGCUGCCGGCAGGGACACUUGGGUACCUUGACCCUGAGUACUACCGUCUCCAUUACUUGACGACAAAGUCGGAUGUCUACAGCUUUGGAGUAGUUCUUCUAGAAAUCCUAAGUGGCAGGAAAGCCAUUGACAUGCAGCUUGAGGAGGGCAAUAUUGUUGAAUGGGCAGCCCCGUUGAUCAAAGCUGGGGACAUUUCUGGCAUCCUUGAUCCAGCCUUAUCUCCUCCCUCUGACCUGGAGGCUCUGAAGAAGAUUGCAGCUGUGGCAUGCAAGUGCGUGAGAAUGCGAGGCAAAGACCGGCCUUCCAUGGACAAGGUGACAACAUCUCUAGAGCGUGCACUUGCGCUGCUGAUGGGCAGCCCAUGCCUGGAGCAACCCAUUCUGCCAACUGAAGUUGUUCUCGGGAGCAGCCGGAUGCACAAAAAGGUAUCACAGAGGUCAUCCAAUCAGUCGUGCUCAGAGAACGAGCUCGUUGAUGGGGACGACCAGCGGAUCGAGUACAGGGCACCAUCUUGGAUAACGUUUCCAAGCGUGACCUCGUCGCAGAGGAGGAAAUCAUCAGCGUCGGAAGCCGACCUGGAUGGCCGAACAACCACAGAUGGGAGGAACGUCGGGAGCAGCAUAGGAGAUGGUCUGCGGUCAUUGGAGGAAGAGAUUGGGCCGGCGUCGCCACAGGAGGACUUGUACUUGCAGCACAACUUCUGA
RNAcentral lists this ribosomal RNA (2703 nucleotides) under Triticum aestivum (bread wheat). Its description in RNAcentral is "partial small subunit ribosomal RNA". The record is from RNAcentral. Lineage: Eukaryota; Viridiplantae; Streptophyta; Magnoliopsida; Poales; Poaceae.